UGUACACAUUAACAACCUGUGAUAGAAGAGGAACGUAAAUCAGUGCACUGGUGUCUUAAACCUCCAACACCAUCAGCAAGCCUGUGGGACUCCUACAUUGAAUUCAACACUCCUACAUUGAGCACAAGCCAGACUUAAAUGCUUUUCCCGCCCUGUGUGAAUCUAUCUGCAUUCUGCGAGCAGUCAUCACAUGGAUUGCAUUUUAUUGUGAGGAAGUGAUUAUUCUGAAACAACACAAUUUUUGGACUCAACAGUGAAUGCAUGAAGAGGUUUGGUUUUUAAGGAACUCUAUAGGGAAGAUUUAAAAUGGAUGAAGAGAUACAAGAAGUAGAGCUCAGAAGAAGAGUGAAGUAUCAUGUACAGAGAGAUGUUCUGGAUGAACUCGGUGUCGACAAAGUAGCCGAGAAGUCGGAUUUCAAAAUUUCACUGAAGGAAAAAUUCAAAGAUGCUGUCAGGUGUACAGGCCCAAAGUUUAAGAGCUGUUUCUUCUCUGUCGUUCCACUCCUGUCAUGGCUGCCGCAAUACCCACUCAGAGAAAACAUUGUAGGAGAUCUGAUAUCAGGAAUCAGUGUGGGAAUCAUGCACCUGCCACAAGGUAUGGCAUAUGCUUUACUGGCUGCAGUUCCUCCCGUGUUUGGUCUUUAUUCUUCUUUCUACCCCAUUCUCAUCUACUUCAUAUUUGGGACAUCCAAACACAUCUCUGUGGGUACGUAUGCAGUAAUGAGUGUAAUGAUUGGAAGCGUGACCGAGCGUAUGGCUCCAGACUCAGACUUUAUGUUGCCGGGUAACGACACCAACAGCACCAUCAUAGACACGUUCAGUCGUGAUGCGCAGAGGGUGAAGAUCGCAGCCACUGUAACUUUCUUAUCGGGCAUUUUUCAGUUGCUCCUGGGUCUGGUUCGGUUUGGUUUCGUGGUGACGUACCUGUCAGAGCCACUGGUGAGAGCUUACACAACAGCGGCCGCCAUCCAUGUUAUCGUCUCCCAGCUUAAAUACUCUUUUGGAAUCAAUCCAGAUCGGUACAGUGGACCACUGUCUCUUAUAUAUACGAUUUUAAAGAUUUGUUCAUUGCUUGGAGAAACUAACAUUGGUACCCUGGUAGUUAGUAUUGUAUCCAUCGUUGGUUUGGUCAUUGCCAAGGAACUUAGCGCCUUGGCAGCAAAGAAAAUUCCUAUUCCUAUUCCUGUUGAGCUAAUCGCUAUUAUUAUAGCUACUGUGGCGUCUUGGCAGAUCGAUCUAAAAACCAAAUACAAAGUGGAAGUAGUUGGAGAAAUUCCAUCAGGGCUGCAGGGCCCUGUGCUGCCUGCUUUUUCCCUGCUGGGUUCAAUGAUUGGUGAUGCUUUUGCUCUGGCUGUUGUUGGAUAUGGCAUUGCCAUUUCUCUUGGUAGAAUUUUCGCUCUUAAAUAUGCCUACAAAGUCGACAGUAACCAGGAGCUCGUAGCUCUGGGUCUGUCCAACUCUGUCGGUGGGAUGUUUCAGUGUUUUGCCAUCAGCUGCUCGAUGUCUCGUAGCAUGGUGCAGGUCAGCACAGGUGGGAAGUCACAGGUUGCUGGAGCUGUCUCUGCUGUGGUAAUUCUGGUGAUCUUGUUGAAGAUUGGAGAACUCUUUGAGGAGCUUCCAAAAGCAGUGCUGGCUGCUAUCAUUUAUGUAAAUCUGCAUGGCAUGAUGAAGCAGUUUGGCGACAUCUGCUCCCUCUGGAAGACCAACAAAGUAGAUAUGGUGGUGUGGGUAAUGACUCUGAUCUUGACAUUGUUACUUAACCCUGAUCUGGGACUGGCUGCAUCUAUCGCCUUUUCCAUCCUCACUGUGGUCUUCAGAACGCAGCUACCAAAAUACUCUCUCCUUGGCCAAGUUCCUGGCACUGACAUCUACAAACCAGUUGAGGACUACAACCAGGUGAAGCAGAUUCCUGGCCUAGUGAUUUUCCGCUCGUCUGCAACAUUGUACUUCGCCAACGCUGAAAUGUACACAGAUGCUCUCUACGAGAAGACCGGGGUUGACGUGGCUAAACUUCUCUCACACAAGAAGAAAUUAGAAACAAAGAGACUCCGUAAGGAAAAGAAAGCAGCGAAGAAAGCAAAGAAGGAUGCCAAGAAGAAAGCUAAAGAAACUGCCGGUCACGCUUAUAAAAAUCAGGGGGCGGAGUCGGAGUUAAGUGAGGAUGAGCUUGAUUUUUCAGAUGUAGAGUCAAAUGCGCAUGAGCUGUCAGUCAAAAAGCAAAUAAAUGUCUUCACUGUGGAGGCGGGGUGUGUCCCAAACACUGACUCCGCCCUCCCAGAGGCCAUCAUUCUGGAUCUGAGCCCAGUGAACUUCCUGGAUACAGUGGGCGUAAAGACUCUACGCAAUCCCUGUGUUUUUUUUGGCAGAUCUAUAAAGAUUAUGGAGAGGCUGGUGUGGAGGUGUACCUAUGCGGCUGUCAGAGAGAUGUUGUAGAGAGUAUGGAGAAAGGUGAUUUUUUCAAUGAAAAAGUAACAAAAUCGAUUCUCUUCUCAUCGGUACAUGACGCUGUUCUUUAUUGCCAGGAAGGAAAUAAGGAGGCCAUGCCGGGAACACAUUUCUAAAUCCAAACACAGCAGGACAUUUCUGUACACGACACCCUGGAGUAUGACAGACUAAUGAGAGACAUUACGUACGUUAGAAAUUCAGUAAAAGGCUGGGUUGUUAUUUAUUGUGCAAAUAGUAAACAUUUAAAGUAUUUCUCACUGUAAAAUAGAUCAAAUACGUUGUUUUGUUAAACUAUGUUUUUCAGUAAAUAUAUGAAAAUAGAUCUGCAACAGAGAUGCAACAUAACAUGUAAAUCAAUUGUUAUAAAUAUAGUUACAGUUUCAGAGAUGGAAAUGUAGUAAACCUUUCAUAUGAUGUUGUGUGGAUUUUAAAAUGGAUGAUUAAGCACGAAUGUAAAACUGUUUCUUACAAAACAUUUAGACUACUAAAAGUUUUUUUACAGGAAAGCAUGACUAUAGCAUACUAUAAACAUUAUAUGUAUGUUAGUAAGAGUUAUGUGUCUCAUGUGUGCCACUUUGUAUGCAUGUGUUUAAGAAUGAAUUUAACUUCAAUAAACAUUCUUUUUCUUA
RNA transcript from Triplophysa dalaica, 3074 nucleotides. It is a transcript of the gene named solute carrier family 26 member 6, with no coding region annotated. The transcript is spliced from 19 exons. Lineage: Eukaryota; Metazoa; Chordata; Actinopteri; Cypriniformes; Nemacheilidae. The record is from RefSeq and is a predicted model, not a curated record.